RNAcentral lists this ribosomal RNA (460 nucleotides) under uncultured bacterium. RNAcentral's name for it is "partial 16S ribosomal RNA". It matches the Rfam family "Bacterial small subunit ribosomal RNA", at positions 338 to 795 of the family's 1533-position model. The record is from RNAcentral.
CCUACGGGAGGCAGCAGUGAGGAAUAUUGGUCAAUGGACGCAAGUCUGAACCAGCCAUGCCGCGUGCAGGAAGACGGCUCUAUGAGUUGUAAACUGCUUUUGUACGAGGGUAAACGCAGAUACGCGUAUCUGUCUGAAAGUAUCGUACGAAUAAGGAUCGGCUAACUCCGUGCCAGCAGCCGCGGUAAUACGGAGGAUUCAAGCGUUAUCCGGAUUUAUUGGGUUUAAAGGGUGCGUAGGCGGUCGGGUAAGUUAGAGGUGAAAUCCCGAGGCUCAACUUCGGAAUUGCCUCUGAUACUGUUAGGCUAGAGAGUAGUUGCGGUAGGCGGAAUGUAUGGUGUAGCGGUGAAAUGCUUAGAGAUCAUACAGAACACCGAUUGCGAAGGCAGCUUACCAAGCUACUUCUGACGCUGAGGCACGAAAGUGUGGGGAGCAAACAGGAUUAGAUACCCCAGUAGUC